UACGUAGGGGGCGAGCGUUGUCCGGAUUUAUUGGGCGUAAAGAGCUCGUAGGCGGUUUGGCAAGUCGGGUGUGAAAACUCCGGGCUCAACUCGGAGACGCCACUCGAUACUGCCAUGACUCGAGUCCGGUAGGGGAGUGCGGAAUUCCUGGUGUAGCGGUGAAAUGCGCAGAUAUCAGGAGGAACACCGGUGGCGAAGGCGGCACUCUGGACGAUGACUGACGCUGAGACGCGAAAGCGUGGGGAGCAAACAGG
This 254-nucleotide ribosomal RNA is filed under the name uncultured bacterium. RNAcentral describes it as "partial 16S ribosomal RNA". It matches the Rfam family "Bacterial small subunit ribosomal RNA", at positions 524 to 776 of the family's 1533-position model. The record is from RNAcentral.